RNA transcript from Zingiber officinale, 1722 nucleotides. RefSeq lists it as uncharacterized. The transcript has 6 exons. The record is from RefSeq and is a predicted model, not a curated record. Lineage: Eukaryota; Viridiplantae; Streptophyta; Magnoliopsida; Zingiberales; Zingiberaceae.
GAAGCCUCCCAUUUUAAGCUCUUCCUAUUUCUCUUCCUCGGCCGUUCCCGUUUCCCCUCUUGCUUCAAUCGCCGAAGCGAGGCGGAAGAAGGCGAGCAGUAGGAAGGAGUCCGAGGAGCAUCCGUGGUGGCGCUGUCAUGGGUGGCUGCAUUCCCUGGAACAAACCGCUCACGGCCGACGAUUUGGCUCAGCGGAUCCCCCGGCCACCGCUGGGUAGUGUGAGAAAUCCCUGCCGCAAAAUGCCCUCUUUUUUCCCGCAAUUUGAUUCGAUUAGGGUUUCUCCUUCCACGACGGCGACAAGGGUGGCGGAAUCUGGAAAUUCAAAGUCAGAGUCAAAAUUCUCAAUCAACUUGACGAAGAAAGGUUCAGUUAAGGAAAAGAAAAUCUCAAGAUGUGGUUCUAAAGGUUCAGUUAAGGAAAAGAAAUCUCAAGAUGUGGUUCUUCGCAAGCUACUCCCAAGACAUCUCCAUUUAAAGAGCUGGCUGCGGCAACUGACAAUUUCAGGGAUGAUUGUCUCUUGGGUGAAGGUGGAUUUGGUCGAGUUUAUAAAGGCAGGUUGGAAAGCAUCCAACAGAAUUCAUAGGGAAGGAAAUAGAUUCAUGGACAUACCGGGCUGACCUAAGUGUGAUCUUGAUUGAUCCUCCACUUAAGACAGUAGCAAUAAAGCAGCUUGAUCUCAAUGGUGUACAAGGAAACAGGGAGUUCCUUGUUGAAGUUAUGAUCUUUGGUCUACUUCACCAUCCUAACCUUGUUAAUCUGAUUGGGUAUUGUGUUGAUGGAGAUCUAAGGCUUUUGGUUUAUGAAUAUAUGCCGCUUGGAUCCUUGGAAGGUCAACUCCAUGGAGACCUUUCUUCAGAUAAGAGGCAGCUCGACUGGCAUCACAGAAUGAAAAUAGCUGCUGGGCAGCGAAAGGAUUAGGGUACCUGCAUGACAAUGUAAAUCCUCCUGUGAUUUAUCAUGAUCUAAAAUGUUUGAACAUUCUGCUCGACGAGAACUAUGACCCUAAGUUGUCAGAUUUUGGACUGGCAGAGCUUGGUCCUAUUGGUGAUAAUACUCAUGUCUCCACCCGAGUGAUGGGCACAUAUGGGUACUGUGCACCUUUUAAUAUUCAAGGGCCGGGCAACUAACAAUAAAGUCUGAUAUUUAUAGCUUUGGAGUUGUUCUUUUAGAACUUAUAACCGGAAGAAGAGCAAUUUAUUGUUCUAGACGUCCAGGCGAGCAGAAUCUUGUUUCCUGGCACUUCAGAAUGUUUUUUCUUUGUUCCAUGCUUGAUCAAAGCCAUUGUUCAAGGACCGAAAUAAGAGGGGUUCCCCUCGAUGAUUGACCCAAUGCUUCAGGGCUAGUACCCCAUCCACGGCUUAUACCAGGCACUUGUCAUUGCUGCAAUGCGUGUGCAGUAUUAACCGAGUUUGAGACCUCAGAUAGCAGACGGCAAUUCUACCGGACAGAAACCAAGCAGUCAAUCCAAAAGUGAUUUAUAGAGAGGGCAGAAUAGAACUGAUCAGUUCAUUCGAACUUCUACACCAAAUACUCUUUUGUGAUUCCUGUUCUGUAUGUUAACUCAGUCUCACCUUCAAUCUCUCCUUUGGUUCUUUUAGUUUUAGGGUCAGCAAAUUUUCACUAUAAAUUUUUAGAUAAGGUGAUUGUUGGUUCUUGUAUCGAAACUUCAGUUAUUUUACUUCAUCUAUCUUAUCCAAACCAAGGGAUAUAAAUUGCUACUUA